Molecule: ribosomal RNA, 748 nt
Filed under: uncultured Acidobacteriota bacterium
Lineage: Bacteria; Pseudomonadati; Acidobacteriota
Description: bacterial SSU rRNA
Rfam family: Bacterial small subunit ribosomal RNA
Source: RNAcentral
GUCCCGCAAGGGACAAUUGAGUGGCAAACGGGUGAGUAACACGUGGGUGACCUGCCUUCGAGUGGGGGAUAACGUCCCGAAAGGGACGCUAAUACCGCAUGACAUCCUGCCUUUGGACAGGCGGAGAUCAAAGCCGGGGAUCGCAAGACCUGGCGCUUGAUGAGGGGCCCGCGUCUGGUUAGCUAGUUGGUGAGGUAACGGCUCACCAAGGCGACGAUCAGUAUCCGGCCUGAGAGGGCGGACGGACACACUGGGACUGAGACACGGCCCAGACUCCUACGGGAGGCAGCAGUGGGGAAUUGUUCGCAAUGGGCGCAAGCCUGACGACGCAACGCCACGUGGAGGACGAAGAUCUUCGGGUCGUAAACUCCUGUCGAGUGGAAAGAAUAAUUCGGGGACGAAUACUCCCCGGAAUUGACGGUACCACUAAAGGAAGCCCCGGCUAACUCCGUGCCAGCAGCCGCGGUAAUACGGGGGGGGCAAGCGUUGUUCGGAAUUACUGGGCGUAAAGGGCUCGUAGGCGGCCAACUAAGUCAGACGUGAAAUCCCCAGGCUCAACCUGGGAACUGCGUCUGAUACUGGAUGGCUUGAAUUCGGGAGAGGGAUGCAGAAUUCCAGGUGUAGCGGUGAAAUGCGUAGAUAUCUGGAGGAAUACCGGUGGCGAAGGCGGCAUCCUGGACCGACAUUGACGCUGAGGAGCGAAAGCUAGGGGAGCAAACGGGAUUAGAUACCCCGGUAGUCCUAGCCC